Molecule: ribosomal RNA, 402 nt
Filed under: uncultured bacterium
Lineage: Bacteria
Description: bacterial SSU rRNA
Rfam family: Bacterial small subunit ribosomal RNA
Source: RNAcentral
UGGGGAAUAUUGGACAAUGGGGGAAACCCUGAUCCAGCAAUGCCGCGUGAGUGAAGAAGGCCUUAGGGUUGUAAAGCUCUUUCGCCCGCGAAGAUAAUGACGGUAGCGGGAGAAGAAGCCCCGGCUAACUACGUGCCAGCAGCCGCGGUAAUACGUAGGGUGCGAGCGUUAAUCGGAAUUACUGGGCGUAAAGCGUGCGCAGGCGGUCUUGCAAGACAGUGGUGAAAUCCCCGGGCUCAACCUGGGAACUGCCAUUGUGACUGCAAGCCUGGAGUACGGCAGAGGGGGAUGGAAUUCCGCGUGUAGCAGUGAAAUGCGUAGAUAUGCGGAGGAACACCGAUGGCGAAGGCAGUCCCCUGGGCCUGUACUGACGCUCAUGCACGAAAGCGUGGGGAGCAAACA